Molecule: ribosomal RNA, 1032 nt
Filed under: Escherichia coli
Lineage: Bacteria; Pseudomonadati; Pseudomonadota; Gammaproteobacteria; Enterobacterales; Enterobacteriaceae
Description: partial 23S ribosomal RNA
Rfam family: Bacterial large subunit ribosomal RNA
Source: RNAcentral
CGCUUAGGCGUGUGACUGCGUACCUUUUGUAUAAUGGGUCAGCGACUUAUAUUCUGUAGCAAGGUUAACCGAAUAGGGGAGCCGAAGGGAAACCGAGUCUUAACUGGGCGUUAAGUUGCAGGGUAUAGACCCGAAACCCGGUGAUCUAGCCAUGGGCAGGUUGAAGGUUGGGUAACACUAACUGGAGGACCGAACCGACUAAUGUUGAAAAAUUAGCGGAUGACUUGUGGCUGGGGGUGAAAGGCCAAUCAAACCGGGAGAUAGCUGGUUCUCCCCGAAAGCUAUUUAGGUAGCGCCUCGUGAAUUCAUCUCCGGGGGUAGAGCACUGUUUCGGCAAGGGGGUCAUCCCGACUUACCAACCCGAUGCAAACUGCGAAUACCGGAGAAUGUUAUCACGGGAGACACACGGCGGGUGCUAACGUCCGUCGUGAAGAGGGAAACAACCCAGACCGCCAGCUAAGGUCCCAAAGUCAUGGUUAAGUGGGAAACGAUGUGGGAAGGCCCAGACAGCCAGGAUGUUGGCUUAGAAGCAGCCAUCAUUUAAAGAAAGCGUAAUAGCUCACUGGUCGAGUCGGCCUGCGCGGAAGAUGUAACGGGGCUAAACCAUGCACCGAAGCUGCGGCAGCGACGCUUAUGCGUUGUUGGGUAGGGGAGCGUUCUGUAAGCCUGUGAAGGUGUGCUGUGAGGCAUGCUGGAGGUAUCAGAAGUGCGAAUGCUGACAUAAGUAACGAUAAAGCGGGUGAAAAGCCCGCUCGCCGGAAGACCAAGGGUUCCUGUCCAACGUUAAUCGGGGCAGGGUGAGUCGACCCCUAAGGCGAGGCCGAAAGGCGUAGUCGAUGGGAAACAGGUUAAUAUUCCUGUACUUGGUGUUACUGCGAAGGGGGGACGGAGAAGGCUAUGUUGGCCGGGCGACGGUUGUCCCGGUUUAAGCGUGUAGGCUGGUUUUCCAGGCAAAUCCGGAAAAUCAAGGCUGAGGCGUGAUGACGAGGCACUACGGUGCUGAAGCAACAAAUGCCCUGCUUCCAGGAAAAG